GCAAUACCGCGUGAGGGAAGAAGGCUCUUGGGUUGUAAACCUCUUUUCUCAAGGAAGAAAAAAAUGACGGUACUUGAGGAAUAAGCAUCGGCUAACUCCGUGCCAGCAGCCGCGGUAAUACGGAGGAUGCAAGCGUUAUCCGGAAUUAUUGGGCGUAAAGCGUCCGUAGGUGGUAUUUCAAGUCUGCUGUUAAAGCGUCUGGCUUAACCAGAUAAAGGCAGUGGAAACUGAAAAACUAGAGUGUGGUAGGGGUAGAGGGAAUUCCCAGUGUAGCGGUGAAAUGCGUAGAGAUUGGGAAGAACACCGGUGGCGAAAGCGCUCUACUGGGCCAUAACUGACACUGAGGGACGAAAGCUAGGGGAGCGAAAGGGAUUAGAUACCCCUGUA
This 387-nucleotide ribosomal RNA is filed under the name uncultured cyanobacterium. RNAcentral's name for it is "bacterial SSU rRNA". It matches the Rfam family "Bacterial small subunit ribosomal RNA", at positions 391 to 792 of the family's 1533-position model. Lineage: Bacteria; Bacillati; Cyanobacteriota. The record is from RNAcentral.